AAAACCAAAAAUGUAAGCAGAAAGGGGAAAUUAUAGAGACCAGAGAGGAAAUCAGUGAAAAAGAAAAUAUACUCAGGUACAGUAAAUAGAGAAAGUCAAAAGCUGGUUCUGUGAGAAGAUCAAGAAAAAUGAUAAACCCCUUGUUGGACCUAUCAGAGAAAAAAAAGAAAACACACAUGACCAAUAGUAUCAGGAAUGAGACGGGUACAUCACUAUGAGGAAGAUAGAGAGGGACUAUUAUGAACAACUUUAUGCCAGGACGUUUGACGACUUAGUUGAAAUGGACAAAUUUCUUAAAAGACACAAACUCCAAAGACAUUUUCACUCAAAAGAAGUGAAUACCUUGAAUAUUAAAUAAAUUGAAUUUGCCCGUGCCUGAACCAUAUUGGAAGUGUUCUGUAACAAUAUGCUGAUUUUCGCCAGGCUGGCCUUCUCUCCAGUUUUUCAAGUGAGUGUGUGUGCUUCAUGUGCUUUCACAUGUGCAUAUGCGAAAUUUUGCAUGUUUUCUGUAGUUAACAUAAUUCUCACGUUUUACCAAAAGGAAACUUCCUUUCCAUGAUGCCAAGUGCUUGAGGGGAAGGGUCUGUCCUUCUGAGCGGAGAGGCAGGCGGAAGGCUUCCAAGGACUGAGUAUUUGGAGAUAUAAAAACCUAAAUCGCCGGAUUCUCCUUCCUGUUUAAAAUGACCUGCUUCUCAGAUAUUUGCAGAUAAUCUGACAAAGGGGAAUAUGCCUGUGAGCCAUGUUCCAGAAGCUAAUACCUGGCGGGAUGUGUAUAACAAAUUACUUGCUUCGAGUGUUACAGCUGAGCUCAUGGAUGGCAUUCUUACUGGAUUAUUAAAGGCUUCUCAGGGUGUUUGGGAACGCCUCUGUUUCAAGUUUAAUUCCACAAGUCCCUGAGUGAACACGCUGUGGCAACUUCAAACAAAAAUCAGAUUAACCAAACCAGCCUCCUCUCCUGGGGAAAGGAAACUGCCCUUCAAAAGGUAGUGCUGGAAAAGAAAAGGUGUAUGCCCCCCAAAAUUGAAAACAGAGGCUCAAACGAAAACUUGUUCGCCUAUGUUCAUAGCACCACUACUCGCAAUAGCCUGAAGGUGGAAACAACUCAGAUGUCCAUUAAUGGAUGAAUGGAUAAACAAAAUGUGGAACGUUAUUCGGCAACAGGAAGGAAAGAAAUUGAUACAGGCUACAACA
Molecule: non-coding RNA, 1191 nt
Organism: Equus caballus (horse)
Lineage: Eukaryota; Metazoa; Chordata; Mammalia; Perissodactyla; Equidae
Source: RefSeq, a predicted model, not a curated record